UAAUACGGAGGGUGCAAGCGUUAAUCGGAAUUACUGGGCGUAAAGCGCACGCAGGCGGUUUGUUAAGUCAGAUGUGAAAUCCCCGGGCUCAACCUGGGAACUGCAUUUGAAACUGGCAAGCUAGAGUCUCGUAGAGGGGGGUAGGAAUUCCAGGUGUAGCGGUGAAAUGCGUAGAGAUCUGGAGGAAUACCGGUGGCGAAGGCGGCCCCCUGGACGAAGACUGACGCUCAGGUGCGAAAGCGUGGGGAGGCAAACAGGAUUAGAUACCCUGGUAGUCCACGCUGUAAACGAUGUCGAUUUGGAGGUUGUGCCCUUGAGGCGUGGCUUCCGGAGCUAACGCGUUAAAUCGACCGCCUGGGGAGUACGGCCGCAAGGUUA
RNAcentral lists this ribosomal RNA (378 nucleotides) under uncultured Serratia sp. RNAcentral describes it as "bacterial SSU rRNA". It matches the Rfam family "Bacterial small subunit ribosomal RNA", at positions 521 to 896 of the family's 1533-position model. Lineage: Bacteria; Pseudomonadati; Pseudomonadota; Gammaproteobacteria; Enterobacterales; Yersiniaceae. The record is from RNAcentral.